This is a long non-coding RNA of Hydra vulgaris (swiftwater hydra), 1251 nucleotides long. RefSeq lists it as uncharacterized. Lineage: Eukaryota; Metazoa; Cnidaria; Hydrozoa; Anthoathecata; Hydridae. The record is from RefSeq and is a predicted model, not a curated record.
UCAAUUAUGCUAUUAUGUUUUUUUUGGUGGCAGCCAUUUAUUUUUUCUGAAACUUAGUGUUCAUUCUUAACCAUCUUUAAUGAUAAGAUCCAUACUAACAUGUAUAAUAAGAUCCAUACUAAUAUCCAACUUAACUAGUAGCUAAGUUUUAUAAGUUUUGUACUUCAAAGCAUGUACAAUCUUGGCAUUUCCAUUACAGUAAUAGUAAUUUUAAAUAUUUUGUAAAAACCAUUGCUAAAAAUGUCAGGGAAAUUCAUCUGAUUUUUCAAAAAAGUCAUUGAAUUUUAUAUAAAUAGUUGGCUACGAACCCUGUCGGAGAAAUAUUGUUUUACUAUGAAUUUUUUUGUUUUACAGUGCAAUCUGUAUUUCAAACAUUGAUGAGAAUUGUUUUGUGUCAGUGCCAGAAAUUGAGUGUACACCUGCGAAUUUCAUAAUUCAUAAAAUUAUUAUGAAUCCAUUUGCAAAUAAAGUUGUAUCCUUGAAAGAUAUGCUGGUAUUAUUGGCACAAAGGGCAAGCAUUGAAGUGCAACUUGGUGAACUACAAAAUACAUCAAAUUCAGUUUUAAAAUUUGAAUAACAAAGGUAUGCUAAUUAUUGUAUUGCCUGAAAGAGUGUCAUUGCCAUUAAAAGCAGCAAAGAAUUCAAAUACUCUGAAAGAAAAAAGAAAAAAAAAAUACUUAAUUAAAUGGUUAAUAUUUUUUUAUGAUCUGUUUAUGCAAUUUGUAUAAUAUCUUAGUAUAAUUUAUAUACUUUAAAUAAAAUACUCUUUGAAGAUUUCUUGUAAAUGACAUUAUAUAUUAAUUUAAGUCUAAACAAAAGUUACUUUAAUUAUUGCCAGGUUGUGUAUUUUUGCAGGUUAAUUAUUUGGCACAAAUUAAAGUUAAAGACGAAGGAGAUUGUGUAUGUUAUUUACUAAGAAUAAUUUUUUAAAAUGGCCUAGCUGUAAAGCUAAACUAUGCAGGAAGAAGACAAAAAAUUGGAAGAGGAAAAAUGUUGAUUGCAUAUGCUGCUAUUGAAACUGUGAAGUCAAAUAAGCAUGGCUUAUGCAGACAUGUGAUAGAGAUAGAGGAAGAAAAAUAAUAAUCGUGGGUACCAAAUAUCAUGGGCUAAACACGAUUCAAUAACAUGUAGCUCAGCCAAUACCGAAACUACUCUAUAAAUUUUAUAGUGAAUUUUUUUAUUUAAAACCCAAUGUGUCAGUUUUUAGUUUAAGUUUGGUGUUUGCAAUAUGUGUAUUUAACCGAGAAAAUA